RNAcentral lists this ribosomal RNA (426 nucleotides) under uncultured cyanobacterium. Its description in RNAcentral is "bacterial SSU rRNA". It matches the Rfam family "Bacterial small subunit ribosomal RNA", at positions 356 to 795 of the family's 1533-position model. Lineage: Bacteria; Bacillati; Cyanobacteriota. The record is from RNAcentral.
GGGGAAUUUUCCGCAAUGGGCGAAAGCCUGACGGAGCAAUACCGCGUGAGGGAAGACGGCCUAUGGGUUGUAAACCUCUUUUCUCAGGGAGGAACUCAAUGACGUGUACCUGAGGAAUAAGCAUCGGCUAACUCCGUGCCAGCAGCCGCGGUAAGACGGAGGAUGCAAGUGUUAUCCGGAAUCACUGGGCGUAAAGCGUCUGUAGGUGGUUUAAUAAGUCAACUGUUAAAUCUUGAGGCCCAACCUCAAAAUCGCAGUCGAAACUAUUAGACUAGAGUAUAGUAGGGGUAAAGGGAAUUUCCAGUGGAGCGGUGAAAUGCGUAGAGAUUGGAAAGAACACCGAUGGCGAAGGCACUUUACUGGGCUAUUACUAACACUCAGAGACGAAAGCUAGGGUAGCAAAUGGGAUUAGAUACCCCAGUAGUC